GAUGAACGCUGGCGGCGUGCCUAAUACAUGCAAGCCGAGCGAACGGACGAGAAGCUUGCUUCUCUGAUGUUAGCGGCGGACGGGUGAGUAACACGUGGAUAACCUACCUAUAAGACUGGGAUAACUUCGGGAAACCGGAGCUAAUACCGGAUAAUAUUUUGAACCGCAUGGUUCAAAAGUGAAAGACGGUCUUGCUGUCACUUAUAGAUGGAUCCGCGCUGCAUUAGCUAGUUGGUAAGGUAACGGCUUACCAAGGCAACGAUGCAUAGCCGACCUGAGAGGGUGAUCGGCCACACUGGAACUGAGACACGGUCCAGACUCCUACGGGAGGCAGCAGUAGGGAAUCUUCCGCAAUGGGCGAAAGCCUGACGGAGCAACGCCGCGUGAGUGAUGAAGGUCUUCGGAUCGUAAAACUCUGUUAUUAGGGAAGAACAUAUGUGUAAGUAACUGUGCACAUCUUGACGGUACCUAAUCAGAAAGCCACGGCUAACUACGUGCCAGCAGCCGCGGUAAUACGUAGGUGGCAAGCGUUAUCCGGAAUUAUUGGGCGUAAAGCGCGCGUAGGCGGUUUUUUAAGUCUGAUGUGAAAGCCCACGGCUCAACCGUGGAGGGUCAUUGGAAACUGGAAAACUUGAGUGCAGAAGAGGAAAGUGGAAUUCCAUGUGUAGCGGUGAAAUGCGCAGAGAUAUGGAGGAACACCAGUGGCGAAGGCGACUUUCUGGUCUGUAACUGACGCUGAUGUGCGAAAGCGUGGGGAUCAAACAGGAUUAGAUACCCUGGUAGUCCACGCCGUAAACGAUGAGUGCUAAGUGUUAGGGGGUUUCCGCCCCUUAGUGCUGCAGCUAACGCAUUAAGCGCUCCGCCUGGGGAGUACGACCGCAAGGUUGAAACUCAAAGGAAUUGACGGGGACCCGCACAAGCGGUGGAGCAUGUGGUUUAAUUCGAAGCAACGCGAAGAACCUUACCAAAUCUUGACAUCCCUUGACAACUCUAGAGAUAGAGCUUUCCCCUUCGGGGGACAAAGUGACAGGUGGUGCAUGGUUGUCGUCAGCUCGUGUCGUGAGAUGUUGGGUUAAGUCCCGCAACGAGCGCAACCCUUAAGCUUAGUUGCCAUCAUUAAGUUGGGCACUCUAAGUUGACUGCCGGUGACAAACCGGAGGAAGGUGGGGAUGACGUCAAAUCAUCAUGCCCCUUAUGAUUUGGGCUACACACGUGCUACAAUGGACAAUACAAAGGGCAGCGAAACCGCGAGGUCAAGCAAAUCCCAUAAAGUUGUUCUCAGUUCGGAUUGUAGUCUGCAACUCGACUACAUGAAGCUGGAAUCGCUAGUAAUCGUAGAUCAGCAUGCUACGGUGAAUACGUUCCCGGGUCU
Molecule: ribosomal RNA, 1372 nt
Filed under: uncultured bacterium
Lineage: Bacteria
Description: bacterial SSU rRNA
Rfam family: Bacterial small subunit ribosomal RNA
Source: RNAcentral